This 777-nucleotide ribosomal RNA is filed under the name uncultured Neocallimastigales. RNAcentral's name for it is "partial large subunit ribosomal RNA". It matches the Rfam family "Eukaryotic large subunit ribosomal RNA", at positions 19 to 616 of the family's 3401-position model. Lineage: Eukaryota; Fungi; Neocallimastigomycota; Neocallimastigomycetes; Neocallimastigales. The record is from RNAcentral.
CGAGCACGCGCGUGUGGCAUAUCAAUAAGCGGAGGAAAAGAAACUAACAAGGAUUCCCUUAGUAACGGCGAGUGAAGCGGGAAGAGCUCAAAUUUGAAAUCUUCAAGGUUCUACCUUGACGAAUUGUAGUUUAAUAGAAGUGUUUUCUGUUAGUAGAGUGGCAAAAGUUCUUUGGAAUAGGACAUCAUAGAGGGUGAGAAUCCCGUAUUUGGUCAUUCCUUCUAGCGUUGUGAUACACUUUCAACGAGUCGGAUUGUUUGGGAAUGCAGUCCAAAAUGGGUGGUAAAUUUCAUCUAAAGCUAAAUAUUGGCGAGAGACCGAUAGCGAACAAGUACCGUGAGGGAAAGAUGAAAAGAACUUUGAAAAGAGAGCUAAACAGUACGUGAAAUUGUCAAAAGGGAAGCGUUUGACACCAGUGUUGUUUUUCCGAAAAUCAAUUACGAAUGUUUUGUUUUUGAGGAGUUAUGACUUCAUCGGCUUGCUCCCUUUCUUUAUGAAACUUUCUUAAUGCACUUUUCGGUUAACAAGUCAACAUCAAUUUCUUUUGUUGUAAGAGGGUAUGAGGAAGGGUGGCUUUCUUUUCGGAGAAAGUGUUUAUAGCCUUGUGCCUCUGCAAUCGGAGAGAUUGAGGUCUGCAGCGUAGAUCCUUCGGGAUUAGAUACGUUUGUGCUAAGUUAUAGCUUUUCAUAGACAACUUGUUGACUAUGUUUAGUCUUGUAGCUUACUCGCUGACGCUAUUUUACCUACGCUUAGGAUGUUAAGCGCAUGUCUCUCUCU